Molecule: ribosomal RNA, 637 nt
Filed under: Staphylococcus xylosus
Lineage: Bacteria; Bacillati; Bacillota; Bacilli; Caryophanales; Staphylococcaceae
Also listed under: 1 other name
Description: bacterial LSU rRNA
Rfam family: Bacterial large subunit ribosomal RNA
Source: RNAcentral
GAGUAACGGAGGCGCUCAAAGGUUUCCUCAGAAUGGUUGGAAAUCAUUCAUAGAGUGUAAAGGCAUAAGGAAGCUUGACUGCGAGACUUACAAGUCGAGCAGGGUCGAAAGACGGACUUAGUGAUCCGGUGGUUCCGCAUGGAAGGGCCAUCGCUCAACGGAUAAAAGCUACCCCGGGGAUAACAGGCUUAUCUCCCCCAAGAGUUCACAUCGACGGGGAGGUUUGGCACCUCGAUGUCGGCUCAUCGCAUCCUGGGGCUGUAGUCGGUCCCAAGGGUUGGGCUGUUCGCCCAUUAAAGCGGUACGCGAGCUGGGUUCAGAACGUCGUGAGACAGUUCGGUCCCUAUCCGUCGUGGGCGUAGGAAAUUUGAGAGGAGCUGUCCUUAGUACGAGAGGACCGGGAUGGACAUACCUCUGGUGUACCAGUUGUCGUGCCAACGGCAUCGCUGGGUAGCUAUGUAUGGACGGGAUAAGUGCUGAAAGCAUCUAAGCAUGAAGCCCCCCUCAAGAUGAGAUUUCCCAACUUCGGUUAUAAGAUCCCUCAAAGAUGAUGAGGUUAAUAGGUUCGAGGUGGAAGCAUAGCGAUAUGUGGAGCUGACGAAUACUAAUCGAUCGAAGACUUAAUCAAUUUUUAAAU